AGUUGUAGCUUCAUCUGAAAUUGCAUCUCUACUGUUACUAGGAGGAAGAACAACACAUUCAAGAUUCAAGAUUCCACUAAAUAUUGAUGAAUGUUCAACAUGUUAGAUCAAAAGAGGUACAUUGAGGUCAUAUUUCAACAUCGACCAAAAAUCAAAAUCUGCAGACCAUUCAAUGGAGCAUGAACUGUUAUAUCCGGAACAAAUGGAUUAUCAAUAUCUGACUGAUUUGCAAUUGUUCAAACCCCCAGCAACAAUCAAAGUCAAGAUUCUUAGGAUUUGGAAAUCUACAACUCCUGACAAUUCAGAAAAUCUACUAAGUCUUGACUUCCUAAUUGCUGAUGCCAAGAUGUUGUUGGUAUGGUAACAACAAUAACACCUGUCACAAAAGUACAACUCAACAAUAGAGAUAUCCCUGUCCAGAAACGAGAUAUCUACAUUCAAAAUGCAAGGAUCAUUGUACGCAUCAUCCUGUUCAGCAACAAGAGUAUACAUUGAUCCAUAAAUUUCAGAAAUUGAUGAACUCAAACACAGAUACCAAAAUGAACCCAUACAAGCAGACCUUCAACUGCUUGAACCAUCUACUCAGUACCACUUUGCACAACACUCCACAUUCUCAAAUAUUCAUGUGGCUGAUCUACUAGCAAUUGAAUAAAAGAAGACAUUGUUCCAGCUCACUGCAACCAUUAUUAAUGUCGAAGCGCCAAAUGGAUGGUACUAUAAUGCUUGCAAUCAAUGUGCAGUAGGUUUACGAUUCUGUGCUGGCAAGUUUUGGUGUCCAAUCCAUGAUGAAAAAACACCAGUCUUAACAAUGAUUCUGGAACUAACAAUUGAAGAUCUCAUUGGAAAAAUUCAAUUGCUUGCUUUUGGUCAGCAAGCUGAAAAAUUAAUUGGUGCUACCAUCGGUGAGUUAGCUGUAAUCAAAACAAUAAACAAAAUGGUUCUCCCUUCUCCUGUAAAAGCAUUGAUAAACACAAGAAGAACAUUCAAAGCAGGGCUUACAGGAAAAGCAAUUGAAGCUGGACUCACAAUUUUCAAGAUAUUUGAUUCUACCAACUGAACAGAUUCUACAGCAGACACAUCCGCAACUUACAAGGGAACAAGCUCACUAAAUGAACAACCUACAUCUUCCAAACCAGCACUACCACCAAUCCAACAGAUCCAAUCAGAAAUACCACCAUCACCAACAAACGCACAGGUAGCAAAUGAAUUAUUUCCAGAAGAGUCUCCAGGAAAGAAGAUGAAAAUCGAAUAAAUGCCAAGCACCAGCAACAUGAUCAGAACCAGACUUUUUGGAUAGAAACAUAAGUUUGACCAUUUAUCCAACAACUUUUUUGUAUCUCUAUGCUAUAAUGAUGUAAAUGAGAAAAAUCAACAAAAAAUAUCACAAUCACAUCAUUUUGUACGGCACUAUUUUGCAGCUCCUGUUAAUAAAUCUGUGACACUUUUGCAUGUAUAUUUUAAGAACUGC
Molecule: non-coding RNA, 1468 nt
Organism: Theobroma cacao (cacao)
Lineage: Eukaryota; Viridiplantae; Streptophyta; Magnoliopsida; Malvales; Malvaceae
Source: RefSeq, a predicted model, not a curated record